RNAcentral lists this ribosomal RNA (496 nucleotides) under uncultured bacterium. RNAcentral describes it as "partial 16S ribosomal RNA". It matches the Rfam family "Bacterial small subunit ribosomal RNA", at positions 29 to 507 of the family's 1533-position model. The record is from RNAcentral.
AUGAACGCUGGCGGCGUGCCUAAUACAUGCAAGUCGAGCGAACAGAUCAGGAGCUUGCUCCUUUGACGUUAGCGGCGGACGGGUGAGUAACACGUGGGUAACCUACCUAUAAGACUGGAAUAACUCCGGGAAACCGGGGCUAAUGCCGGAUAACAUUUAGAACCGCAUGGUUCUAAAGUGAAAGAUGGUUUUACUAUCACUUAUAGAUGGACCCGCGCCGUAUUAGCUAGUUGGUAAGGUAACGGCUUACCAAGGCAACGAUACGUAGCCGACCUGAGAGGGUGAUCGGCCACACUGGAACUGAGACACGGUCCAGACUCCUACGGGAGGCAGCAGUAGGGAAUCUUCCGCAAUGGGCGAAAGCCUGACGGAGCAACGCCGCGUGAGUGAUGAAGGUCUUCGGAUCGUAAAACUCUGUUAUUAGGGAAGAACAAAUGUGUAAGUAACUGUGCACGUCUUGACGGUACCUAAUCAGAAAGCCACGGCUAACUACGUG